This is a long non-coding RNA of Thunnus maccoyii (southern bluefin tuna), 2013 nucleotides long. RefSeq lists it as uncharacterized. The record is from RefSeq and is a predicted model, not a curated record. The transcript has 3 exons. NCBI's taxonomy places the organism in Eukaryota, Metazoa, Chordata, Actinopteri, Scombriformes, Scombridae.
AGGGUGUGUGUGUAGUCUGUCUUUCUGUCCUUGGCUCGGAUGCAGACGGUGGCCGUUCUUGCACGGUCAGCGAAAAGCACGGCUAGCAGCUGAGAUGACCGGCUGAUCCCGGCCAGCGGCUCCUCACAUCUCCGAAAACGGAGCAAAUGUACGAACAGGCGUUAUUUGGAUAACUUGACCCCAUAUUGUUAAUCUAAAUGGUUACUUUCUCGCCUGAAAAAAUAUUAAAACUUAAUGAAGUGACAUAUUAACAGUCCUACAGCGAAAAUUACAAAAGCUUUUAGCCUGGCUCAUCUCCUCCAUUGCACAGUCUAAAGAGACGCAAUGCAUUGUGGGGCAGUUGAGUAUGUCCAGUAAGCUCACGCCGCAUACUCAGAAAUUCUUGCUAAUGUAGUAUACAUCCGGGUAUUUCUUGCGUACACAAAAUCCACAUACUAUGCAGUUGGAACGCACUACAUACUCAAUUUGACGUCAUACUUAGUAUGAAUAGUACGUUAGUAUGCGAUUUCGAACACAGCCUAUAAUUUACCCAUAUUCUCUAAAAGCCUCACAUGCAGUCUAUCAGUAAACACUAUAAUUUACCCAUGUUCCCUAAACACCUCGUAUGCAGGCUAUUGGUAGAUGUUACAAUUUGGUAAUUGUUACUAAUUUACCAAACGCCUCACAUGCGUACAAUUUUGAGUUGAGCUGGAGUUGAUCAGAUGAACUGUAGUGUCUGUUCAAAAGGUUCCUGAGACAUCCUGCACUAUGUCGUGAACAUACAUAACUCUCUAAACUUUUUCAAUAAAUUCUCUAUGGUAGUUCUUAUUGCUAUGGGUGUAGUCCCAUCUCCGACCACAAUGUGGGUUGCAAUGGCAGACUGGCGCUGUCAGUAUUUAAGUUUGUUGACCCCAUGGGUAGAAGAAGAAGCAAAUCAACGUUAUUUAUGAGGUGUUUGUUAUAUGUUUCUCGAGAACCACUCAUCCAGACAACUUCACACAUCAACAUUGCACUUCCUCUUUUACCCAGCAAUCCACCUGCUAGGUAUGAAGUCGAUCGGAUGAACGGUUCUCGAGAUACGUGAUAGACAAACCCACAUACAUACAUACAGACAGAGAUUCCACAAUGGAAUAACAAAUGGUUAUUGUCACUUUGUCACUGAUAUUUGCCACAGUCAGAGGCCACAGCUAUCUGUUCUACUGCACUUUUGCUUGACCUCUAGGAAGUUGUAGGCUCCAGUAAACAGGCAAGAGACAAACUGCUGCAUUGACUUAAGUAAUCAAUCGUAAUUAUCACAUAUAUUGUGUUUUUUGCCUUUGAUAACUAAGUUCCAGGACCCUCUGCUGCUGGUGCCCAACAUGGCCUUCUUCAUUCUCCUGAUGUGGCAGCUGCCCUCAGCCAGGAGAAAGAUAUGCAUCACCUUGAGCUCUGUUUUCAUCAACUUUUACCUGCUGGUAGGGCUCUUACCACAGACAUCUAAAACAAUGAACUUGACAAUGAACUUUAACAUGACAGUGCAAAAAAUAUGGAACCAGUUGCUGUGGUUAUGCAACUGUAACCCGGGUCACAAAGGGUUAACAACACAGAAGUGCUUCAGCCAAUCAGAGUGCAGGUCCACAGCACCGCAGGCAAGCUACACAACGUACGCUAGUCAGACGCUGGGUGACACUGUUGAGAGAGGACCUGCUGCUGAACGCUCGUAGAGGUGUGUGUGUGAGAGGCUGCUCACUGAAACCUGCCGAGUGACACAGAGGAACUCCCGAAUUGAUGUCAACAUGGCCCCAGCUAAACCAGCUCAACGGUCAAAAAAAUACAGAGACAAAAUCAAGGAAGAUCCUGAGAAAUAUCAGCAAUAUCUUGAAAGAGAAAAAGAGAGAUACAAAAAAAGAAAAGAGACAGGAAAAUUGAAAGCCAUAUCACAAUUAUCAAAGCGGGAACAAAGAUGCAGGAGACGUCAGUGGAAAGUUAACCAAAGAAACAAAAGGGCCAGUGAUAAGAACAGAGAGAAGAUACAAAGUUAUAUAACUGAAAACA